RNAcentral lists this ribosomal RNA (406 nucleotides) under uncultured bacterium. Its description in RNAcentral is "partial 16S ribosomal RNA". It matches the Rfam family "Bacterial small subunit ribosomal RNA", at positions 30 to 526 of the family's 1533-position model. The record is from RNAcentral.
AUUGAACGCUGGCGGCAGGCUUAACACAUGCAAGUCGAGCGAGCGGCGGACGGGUGAGUAAUGUCUGGGACACUGCCUGAUGGAGGGGUCUAACUACUGGAAAAGGUAGCUAAUACCGCAUACCAUCAGAUGUGCCCAGAGUGGAUUAGCAAGUAGGUGGGGUAAAGGCUCACCUAGGCGACGAUCCCUAGCUGGUCUACGAGGCUGACCAGCCACACUGGAACUGAGACACGGUCCAGACUCCGACGGGAGGCAGCAGUGGGGAAUAUUGCACAAUGGGCGAAAGUCUGAUGCAGCCAUGCCGCGGGGGUGAAGAAGGCCUUCGGGUUGUAAAGCACUUUUAGCGAGGAGGCGUUACUCGCACAAGAAGCACCGGCUAACUCCGUGCCAGCAGCCGCGGUAAUUC